UUCAUUAGCAUUUCUACACCUUUUAUGAGAAAUUGAAUCAGAAUUUUUGUAGUUCCUCCUGACAUUUUCCUCACUGCAAGGAUUUGGUAGCUGAUGUUUGGAAGAAAAACCAUAAUUACUCUACAGCAGCCUCUAAUUGCAGCUCUAGGAAAGUUCCAUUUCUUUGGUUCGACUCCAAUGUCCUGAGUAUGAGAUUGAUUGUCUACAAAUUCAAAAUUGAGACCAAUAUAUGAAGGAUUAGUAUAAUUGAUUAGUAAGGUCUAAAUCAGUGAAUUUUCGUCUCUAAGGUCAAAAGUUAAAGCAGGUAACAAAUGCAAAUACCUGAAGUUCUGGACUGCUCUAAUAUCCCCUUUUGAGUUAGGGGAUAGCAAGAAAAUGUGGAAGAUUGGUUGAGAACUUCAUUUUGAUUCGUCUGUAGCUAUAUGACACAGUGGGAGAGAGAUUAUUUGCUUAGUUGUUUGAGCACUAGUAAGACUUGGCAGAUAGGUGCUUACAUGUUUUAAAAAAAAUUCCGUAACUUUUUAAGGAUUUGUUCGACUCCAAAUACAUAAUUGUUGUACACUCUUCGAUUUUAUGUCUUCAAUAUCAAGCUUAUCCCGUCUUAUUCCACAUCACUAUUAAUCUGUUCUAAAUCCUUUUGAUUUAGGUAUUGUUUUGAAAUGCUUUGAAUUGAUAUGUUUCAGUCUUGUAUCAUCAACCUUUUAACUGGGCAUAGGGGUUUAAAUGUUAUGUCUUAGUUCAGGGUUAUGUUAAAUCAGCAUAUUCAUUGACUUCAGCUUCUUUAAUUGUACUAACUUAGCUCUAUUUUGGUUGCGCAUCUGUAGAAUAAAGGAGAUAUGACAUAACUGCUGCUAAAUAUGUUCAUUAAAUUAUUUUUAAUCAACUAUAUGCUGAUGAUGUUUAAGAACUGUGAUUUGUAUAGCUCUUGGACAUGAUAAGUAUGAUGACUGACCAAAGCAUGUCUUUAUCUUGAAAAUAAUAUGACAUUUGACAAGCAUGUUGUGAAUUAAUCUAAUAAUUGAAAAUUUAUGAGUGAUAACAGUUAUUUCAUUGCUAUAUAUUAUGGGCACUUGCCUAUGGCCAAUGGCACCAAAAGAGCAUGUAAAGUCCUGUUAUAGAAGAAGUCCUAAUAAUAUACUUUCUAUCUACUAGAGCAACCAAAUACAUAUACUAAUACUAGUUUACAUAGUAUGUGAAGAGUAAUUUUCAAGACUCAAGAGAGUAUGAGCUAGGCUCAUGAAGUUUCUGAGCUUUAAAUAUUACGACUUCAAGAUGAACACUUUGUAGCUCAUAUCCUGGGAUACAUGAUCUAGUAAAGCUUCAAGUUUCUAUUAUUUUGUUCGUUACUCGCAAUAGACCUAAGUUUAACUUAUCUUCUAGGGUCUUUCAGCUAUUCUUAUAUUCGGAGGAAUUGCAAUGUUGCUUUCUUUUGUCUUAUAGAAUUAGAAGAGAUAUAUUUAAAAACUCUCUUCUCUGAUGCCCUUGAGUCUCUUCUCGCCAUGGAGGAUUCUGUCUUCGUUUCUUAUACAGUGACACAAUCAUACAAUGGUCUGAUUUUGUUUCAGAUGGUACUGAGAAUUAUUUAUCAUUUGUCAGUCCUGUAACAUCACUAAUUUUGUGCCUGAAACAUUGCAGUCUGAUUUCUUUUUCAACAAUCAAACAACUCCAACAAUUGUCUGCUUAAAUAUUGUUGUAACUUUCUCACGUUACCAAAACCAUAAAUCUUCAGACAAGUCUAAACUUGAAAUUCAACUAUUAUUUAAGAAAACAAAAAGCCAAUAGCAGUAGCAACCGAAUACUUAUAACUCCUCAUUUUGUUGAGCAGGAGACUUCCACUAACUGUGCUUUUAUUUGAUCACUUUCAGGCUCGACCUUUGCUUAGUAAUGCGCUUGAGAAAGAGGAAUUUGAUCAGUUGGCAGAUCCUCGCCUUGAGAAGAACUAUGUUGACAAUGAGAUGUUUCGGAUGAUUGAGGCCGCUGCAGCUUGUGUGCGUCACUCAGCUGCAAAGAGACCAGGGAUGGGACAGGUAACUUCUUUUACUUUACUGGAAACCAACGCACAAACAACCAUAAGUCUAUUUUUUUUUUUUAAUUCGAUCAUGCUUAUGGUUUUGCAGAUCAUGAGAGCUUUUGAUAGUAUGCUUAUGUCUGAUCUGACAAAUGGGAUGAAGGUUGGUGAAAGUGCAAUAUAUAACUCUGCAGAGCAAUCUGCGCAAAUAAGAUUGUUUCGGAGGAUGGCAUUUGCUAGUCAAGAUUUUAAUUCAGAUUUUUCCAGUCAAGGCAACCAUUACAGUAAAGAGUUAGCUGAUCAUUAUUAGAGGAUAUACUACAGAACAAAAUGGCCUGCUGAAGCAAGUAGAUGAUGAAUCUGUUAAUACAUCAAAGGCAGCUCAGCUGAGGUCUUGAUUAAGUUUUGUAAGUAGGUUCCUUUUACCGCUGGCAUACAUGUAGUCUGCAAUUUUUUCUGUAACUAACAGGAAACUUUUAUUGUCGUCUCCAACCAUUUUUUGAAACUAUUAUUCUUUCAAGAGUGAGUUUAUUUCCUCUCUUGUCCAAAACGGUCCCCCCCCCCCUCCCCCCGCCUUCGGAUACAUUUGAAAUUGGAAUGAUAAAGAGAGAUUAGCAUGGUACCUAGGCAAGGAUGACAUACACAAAUUGAGAAAUGGUCCCCUUCUUCUCCCUUGCUGCUUCCCAAAUCAACUUUCUCUUGGAAACAAAAUAGCAAAGUGAAAGCAAAACCAAAAAACAAGUUAUGAACGAGUGAAUGCAAUAUUAGACAACAGCAAUUUGGUGAUGGAUCUGCAAUAGCUUUGGAUAAGGUUCAACUUGAAGGAUUUCAUUUCAAUAAAUGCAAUGGUUUUUGGAUGGUGUUUGUAUGGUUGAAAAGCAAGGUGUACAGGAGAACAAGAAGUUGAUUAUGACCACAGAUCUUUAGACCAAUCUGUAUCCAAAACUGUUAACCUUCCAAGUUAGAACAGGCAAAGAAUAACUGAUCGUUAAUUCAUUUAAAAAUUAGUACAUUUAAAGAAUAAGGAAAUGUGAAGACUUGUUCUUUCACAAAAGAAGAAUUCCAAUGGCAACGUACACGAGUUAAAUUACCAAUAAAUAAGUUUGACAGAGAUAUUCCUAGACUGAUCUUUUCUUUUCAGGUUCUCUUUUCUUUUAUUUGAUUUAGUCAUGCUAGUGCUCGACAAUUAAAUGGACA
RNAcentral lists this long non-coding RNA (3205 nucleotides) under Nicotiana tabacum (common tobacco). Lineage: Eukaryota; Viridiplantae; Streptophyta; Magnoliopsida; Solanales; Solanaceae. The record is from RNAcentral.